AUUGAACGCUGGCGGCAGGCCUAACACAUGCAAGUCGAGCGGAUGAAGGGAGCUUGCUCCUGGAUUCAGCGGCGGACGGGUGAGUAAUGCCUAGGAAUCUGCCUGGUAGUGGGGGAUAACGUCCGGAAACGGGCGCUAAUACCGCAUACGUCCUGAGGGAGAAAGUGGGGGAUCUUCGGACCUCACGCUAUCAGAUGAGCCUAGGUCGGAUUAGCUAGUUGGUGGGGUAAAGGCCUACCAAGGCGACGAUCCGUAACUGGUCUGAGAGGAUGAUCAGUCACACUGGAAGUGAGACACGGUCCAGACUCCGACGGGAGGCAGCAGUGGGGAAUAUUGGACAAAGGGCGAAAGCCUGAUCCAGCCAUGCCGCGUGUGUGAAGAAGGUCUUCGGAUUGUAAAGCACUUUAAGUUGGGAGGAAGGGCAGUAAGUUAAUACCUUGCUGUUUUGACGGUACCAACAGAAUAAGCACCGGCUAACUUCGUG
Molecule: ribosomal RNA, 484 nt
Filed under: uncultured bacterium
Lineage: Bacteria
Description: partial 16S ribosomal RNA
Rfam family: Bacterial small subunit ribosomal RNA
Source: RNAcentral